Molecule: small RNA, 877 nt
Filed under: Pongo abelii (Sumatran orangutan)
Lineage: Eukaryota; Metazoa; Chordata; Mammalia; Primates; Hominidae
Description: processed transcript
Source: RNAcentral
AAGAGCGCCUGCGCAGGACACGCUGGACAAAUGCAUUGUUUUUGCUGCCUGCUGCUGCGGGAGGAGGCCUUAUGGGGGAAGGUCGCGAAGUGACUGGGAUUUUUUUUCUCAUUUGUCAUUUAGUGGGCUCCGUGGCUUAAGACUUGAACCAAGUAAACCAAGUUCUCUUACUGAGAAGUCUCAGUUUCAACUGUCAUUCUUCUCUACAGAAGAGCUUCUCCUCAUCAACUGGGGAUGAUUACAGUUCUUCCUAAAAAAGGAUGGCUGCUCUUUUUCUAAAGAGGUUAACACUACAAACUGUAAAGUCUGAAAAUAGUUGCAUUAGAUGUUUUGGUAAACACAUCGUGCAAAAGACAGCACCAACACAGUUGUCCCCUAUUGCUUCUGCCCCAAGACUCUCCUUCCUAAUUCAUGCAAAAGCCUUUAGUAACGCUGAAGACACCCAGAAUGAAGGAAAAAAGAAAAAAAAGAAUAAAACAGCUUUUAGUAACAUUGGAAGAAAAAUUAGUCAGCGAAUUAUUCACUUAUUUGAUGAGAAGGGCAAUGAUUUGGGAAACAUGCAUCGAGCAAAUGUGAUUAGACUUAUGGAUGAGCGACACCUGCGACUGGUUGAAAGGAACACCAGCACAGAACCUGCAGAGUACCAGCUCAUGACAGGACUGCAGAUCUUCCAGGAGCAGCAGAGGCUGAGGGAGAUGGAGAAGGCGAGCCCCAAAACUGGACCAACCGUAAGAAAGGAACUGAUUUUGUCUUCAAAUAUUGGACAACAUGAUUUGGACACAAAGACUAAACAGAUUCAGCAGUGGAUUAAGAAAAAACACCUAGUCCAGAUUACUAUAAAGAAAGGAAAAAAUGUAGACGUGUCAGAAAAUGAAAU